UUUUAUAGUAUUUACUGAAUUGGAUAGGUCUGGAUUUGUUGGUGCUGUUGUAUCCGUAAAUUUUCUGAUUUUGCUAUAUAGGUAUGGAAUAUGAGCAGAUCUGUGAGUUGCAAAAAAGAAAGUCUGGCAGAAUGCUUGGCCUCCUGUGCAGGAAGUGAGACCUGAAGGGUGAGCUUAUGGUGAAGAGUAUCUAUUUUUGGGUUUUGCAGAUUUAUUUUGAAGUUUGACUUGGAGGUAAGUUCUCACUUUUGUUGGUUUCUUGAGGCAUCCAAGGACUUCCUGUUUAGGUUAUGGCAAUUCCUUUCUGGUUCGACCCGAGGUAAUGAUGGUAAGGUUAUAGACCAUGCAGUUUCUAUUUUUGGAUAUCAAUAAUCUUUGGAACGAAGUAAACCUCGUCUCUGCUACCUGCAACAAAUUAUCUUUUUUUGCAUCUUCUCCGCUGGAACACUAUUCAGUAGAAGUUUUUGAGCCUUCCCUUGUAGAUGUUGCUCUCUAUAUUCCAUUUUGUUA
Molecule: long non-coding RNA, 510 nt
Filed under: Solanum tuberosum (potato)
Lineage: Eukaryota; Viridiplantae; Streptophyta; Magnoliopsida; Solanales; Solanaceae
Description: long non-coding RNA (STUB_LNC000142)
Source: RNAcentral